This 492-nucleotide ribosomal RNA is filed under the name uncultured bacterium. Its description in RNAcentral is "partial 16S ribosomal RNA". It matches the Rfam family "Bacterial small subunit ribosomal RNA", at positions 29 to 507 of the family's 1533-position model. The record is from RNAcentral.
AGUGAACGCUGGCGGUAGGCCUAACACAUGCAAGUCGAACGGCAGCACAGUAAGAGCUUGCUCUUACGGGUGGCGAGUGGCGGACGGGUGAGGAAUACAUCGGAAUCUACUUUUUCGUGGGGGAUAACGUAGGGAAACUUACGCUAAUACCGCAUACGACCUACGGGUGAAAGCAGGGGAUCUUCGGACCUUGCGCGAUUGAAUGAGCCGAUGUCGGAUUAGCUAGUUGGCGGGGUAAAGGCCCACCAAGGCGACGAUCCGUAGCUGGUCUGAGAGGAUGAUCAGCAACACUGUAACUGAGACACGGUCCAGCCUGCGACGGGAGGCGGCAGUGGGGAAUAUUGGACAAUGGUCGCAUGCCUAGUCCAGCGAUACCGCGUGGAGAAGGAAGGCCUUCGGGUUGUAAAGCCCUUUUGUAGGGAAAGAAAAGCAGCAGGUUAAUACCCCGCUGUUUUGACGGUACCCAAAAAAUAAGCGCCGGCAAGCUUGGUG